This 914-nucleotide non-coding RNA is filed under the name Chlorophthalmus sp. 'bake-aome-eso'. Its description in RNAcentral is "partial 12S rRNA". It matches the Rfam family "Bacterial small subunit ribosomal RNA". The record is from RNAcentral. Lineage: Eukaryota; Metazoa; Chordata; Actinopteri; Aulopiformes; Chlorophthalmidae.
UUACACAUGCGAGUUUCCGCACCCCUGUGAGGAUGCCCUCAAAUUUCCUCGCCCGAAAACGAGGAGCCGGUAUCAGGCACGCACAAUAUGCAGCCCAAGACGCCUUGCUCAGCCACACCCCCAAGGGAUCUCAGCAGUGAUAGACAUUAAGCAAUGAGCGAAAGCUCGACUUAGUUACGGUUAAGCAGGGCCGGUUAAUCUCGUGCCAGCCACCGCGGUUAUACGGGUAGGCCCGAGUUGACAGACUUCGGCGUAAAGAGUGGUUACGGACCAAUACUACUAAAGUUAAACACCCCCCUCGCUGUAAUACGCGUCCGGGGACCGGAGACUCCACUACGAAAGUGACUUUAACACCCUUCCCGAACCCACUUAAGCCAGGGAACAAACUGGGAUUAGAUACCCCACUAUGCCUGGCCGUAAACUUUGAUUUGUUAUAUACAUGAACCAUCCGCCCGGGAACUACAAGCGCCAGCUUCAAACCCAAAGGACUUGGCGGUGCUUCAGACCCACCUAGAGGAGCCUGUUCUAGAACCGAUAAUCCCCGUUCAACCUCACCAUCCCUGGCUAUUCCCGCCUGUAUACCGCCGUCGUCAGCUUACCCUCUGAAGGCCCACAUAGUAAGCAAAACGGGCAUUGCCCCAAACGGCAGGUCAAGGUGCAGCGCAUGAGAUGGAAAGAAAUGGGCUACAUUCUCUAACUCAGAGAACACGGACGGUGUAAUGAAACAUGCACCCGAAGGCGGAUUUAGCAGUAAGAAGGAAAAACGAGCGUCCUUCUGAAGCUGGCUCUGAAGCGCGCACACACCGCCCGUCACUCUCCCUAUCACCCACAUUUCUAGUACCUAAACUAUGAAAGAAGCGUAGGGGAGGCAAGUCGUAACAAGGUAAGUGUACCGGAAGGUGCACUUGGACAAC